GCUGUAAAACCUCAACCUGACGCCUUUGUCAUUAAUCUUGGGGAUCAAUUGCAGGCAGUAAGUAACGGUAAGUACAGAAGUGUAUGGCAUCGAGCUAUUGUGAAUUCAGAUCAAGCUAGGAUGUCAGUGGCUUCGUUUCUAUGUCCGUGUGAUAGCGCGAAAAUCAGUGCACCAAAGCUGCUGACAGAAGAUGGAUCUCCAGUGAUUU
This 208-nucleotide unclassified non-coding RNA is filed under the name Hevea brasiliensis (rubber tree). The record is from RNAcentral. Lineage: Eukaryota; Viridiplantae; Streptophyta; Magnoliopsida; Malpighiales; Euphorbiaceae.